RNAcentral lists this transfer RNA (70 nucleotides) under Photinus pyralis (common eastern firefly). RNAcentral describes it as "tRNA-Val". Lineage: Eukaryota; Metazoa; Arthropoda; Insecta; Coleoptera; Lampyridae. The record is from RNAcentral.
CAAAUUAAAGCUUUAUAGGAAGCUUUUUAGUUACAUUAAAAUGAUUAUUGUGCAAUUCAGUAUAAUUUGA